CCAAAUUGGAAUUCGGGUUUCACAUUUGAGCGCAAACAGGAGCUUUUUCCCACUAGUGCUGUGAAAACUCGGAUUUUUCAAACUACAGCUAACGUUUGAAAAUCUUCAAGAAGGAUUUGCAAAAUGACUUCUACCAACUUCAAUCGCGAGAUGCACCUGCUCUCCCUUUUCAUUGAGGAGGUGAUAGAUCAACGCUAUGCUGAGCUGGUGAGUCCAAUCACUGCACCUCAGAUGGUCGUCAUUAACUUGAGGAACCGUCAACUGAGCAGCAGCCAUCUGGACUCCAUGUCCCCCCUGGUCCUCACUCUUUACCAUAACCUGGUGACGGGGUCCAAAGACUUUCCUCACAUAUUGUUUAAAGGAUUGUUCCACCGGGACCAGGUGACGACACCAUUUGUCCAUGUGAGGCAGAGCCAGAGAGAGAACACCACUCCUUCUCCUCCUACGGACUCCCCAGCUGGCAUGAUGCUGCCGCCUGCGGGCUCCAGCUCUCAUCCACGCUUCCUGACUCCAGUUCUUCCAGAGAAAGCGGAUCUUGCUGUGCUGAAGGCAGAUCGGAGGAACUGCGUCCGCACCCUGACUGUCGACGGCCUCCCCGUCACCAGAGUCAUCUCCACUGUUUACCGAACAGAGGACACUGAGAUGACGAACCGCUGGAGAAUAACAGACUACAGCGCAGACGGCAGAGUUCUCACAUCGGUGCUCUGCCGUUUUCUAAAUACGUCGGCAAAGCGUGCUAAGAGGAAGGCUCCGGAGGAAGAGAGCAGCAUCCGGAGCCCGACUCCAGCAAGGAAGCGCUUGAGAAUAUAAUAUACAGUGAAGCAUGUCGAACGUCAGCAAGCCUGAACAAAGUGUCAGGAAAAAGAGUCACGCUGCGAAGAAACACCACACAGAAGCUUUUCCCUCAGUACAAUGACAACUGAGGGUCUUCAGAGCAGCGUGAACGGCCGUCACCUGAGAGCAAGACAGUCCUCGGGCCUUCCCUCCAGACUGGCCACCUGUCCAGGUUGUACCCCCGCCUCUGGCCCCAUAACAUGGCUCCAACCUUGAAUUGGUUAAGCAGAAGGGAUGGAUGGAUGGAUGGAUGAUCCAAAGAGAAACAUUGAAGGCACUCUCACAAAAAAAAGAUAAGAACUCAUUUUACACAUUGUUGAAACAUCCUGAAAGUUACUUGUUCUGUUUAGAAACUUGUUGAACUGUCAUUAGAGUUUGUUUCGACUUGUUUUUCAUUUCUUAUUCGGUUCAGCUGUGUUUCUAUGUGUCCUUAGUUCCCAUAAUCAGCCUCCUGUGUGUAAAUAUUGUGUCAGUCUCCCUUUGUCCCUUGUCAGAGUGUUAGUCUCCAUCCCCUCGUGUUUCCUUGCCUCAGUAGCUCUGUUUCCUAUAGUUUUCCACCAGUAUAGGUUUUGGUUUGACUUUUUCAGUUCCCUCUGUCAGUCUUUGUAUUUGGUAUUUCCUCAUCAGUCUCAUCACUUUCCUCUGCAGAGAGAAAACAGGAAAAGGACCUGAAGAGACGUCUAUGCAAACGCUCUCAUUGUGAAAGAUAAGUAUACAUCCAUCUAAUCUGUGACUCUGUCACAACUCUGAUCAGCAGUUCUUUCAGGUUUGUCUGUUUUGAUGAUGUUAUUAAUUGUUAUUAUCCUUUAUCCAGUUAACUUUCAGAGAGGAGCGGAGGGAGGAGCGAAGCCAGUGUGCUCUGUAAACUCUCAUUAAAAAAAAGAUAAGUAUAUUUGAUUUUCUAUAAUUAUGACAGCUCCUCCUCAGUGAACACUUCCUCUAGUUGCUGAAAUCAUUUAUUAAUUUUUUUCUUCCCAUUUGUCUUUUGUUUUUCAGGGAAAACAGAGAGGAGACAAGGUGACAUUAAGACCUAAGACAGGACGGAUUGAACCCUUUUCCAGAGAAGAUGAGAAGAGUGAACGUCAGCAAGAAUGAACAAAGUGUUUCUAAAUGUCAGGAAAAAGAGCCAAGCUGAGAAGAAACACCACACAGAAGAUUUUCCCUCAUUAAAAUGGAGAGGAGCAGUAACGACACUGGGAGACAAACAACAGGAUGAUCCAAAGACAACUGAGAGUGUUCAGAGCAGCGUGAACGGCAGUGACCUCAGAGCAAGACAGUCCUCGGGCCUUUGUGGUUCCCUCCAGCUGUUGACAACCCACGCAGACACGAGAGAAUGCAAACUCAAUCACAAGGGCCGUGGCCAGAUGGUGGAUUCAAACCUAGGAUAUUCUUCCUGUGUGAUGAUGAACUGUUGUGGUCUGCUAACACUCCAGAAGGAACCAGUUCCUCUGAAGAGCAUUGAGGUGGAGCUGGAGGUGAGGGACCAUGUGGCUACAGUGGUCUCCACUCUGAACUACGAAAACAAGGAGGACAAACCAUUAGAGGCUGUUUUUGUCUUCCCUCUGCCUGGAGAUGCUGCUGUCUGUCAUUUCAGUGCUCAGAUUGGACAGACACAGAUUGUAGCUGAGGUGAAGGAGAAACAGAAGGCUCGUGAGGAGUAUGAUGAUGCUCUGAGCUCCGGUCAGCAGGCCUCCCUAUUGGAGGAGAGUGAUGAGAGUCCAGAUAUAUUCUCUCUGCGUGUGGGCAGUCUGCCUCCAGGAGAGAGCGCCUCCAUCAGGUUGGAGUACGUCAUUGAGCUGGCUGUGCAGGCUGAUGAUGGUCUGAGGUUCUGUCUGCCUGCUGUGCUCAACCCUCGAUACCAACCUCAGGGUAGUGAAGGUGCAGGUUUCCAGGUGACUUCUGUUCCAGCCUCUCUGGUGCCCUACAGUCUGUCUUUUUCUGCCCGAGUCUCCUCUCCUCGUCCAAUCUCUAAAGUAGAGUCCAACUGUUCCCUGGAGCCUCUGCAGUACCUCAACAAUGAUCAAACCCAGGCCACGGUCAAGCUGGCUGCAGGACACAAGUUUGACAGAGAUGUUGAACUGCUGAUUUAUUACAAAGACGCCCACCAGCCCACUGCUGUGGUGGAGGCAGGACAGGCCUCUGCUGAGCCGGGCUCUCUGAUGGGUGAUCCAGUGGUGAUGGUGAGUCUGUACCCUGAGUUCCCCCAGUCUGUGAUGUCUUCAAUGGCUUCAUGUGGAGAGUUUGUAUUUCUAUUGGAUCGAUCUGGAAGCAUGAGUAAUACUCGGAUCAGCAGUGCCAGGGAUACUCUGCUGCUCCUGUUGAAGAGCUUACCAAUGGGAUGCUAUUUCAACAUUUACAGUUUUGGGUCUAGUUAUGAACACAUCUUCUCUAAGAGUGUGGAGUACAGCCAGAAGACCAUGGAGGAGGCUCUGAAGAAAGUUGAGGAGAUGAAGGCUGAUCUUGGAGGAACAGAGAUCCUGGAGCCCCUCAAACAUAUUUACAGCCAGCCCUGCAUUCAAAAUCAGCCUAGACAGCUGUUUGUCUUUACUGAUGGAGAGGUGUGGAACACCAAAGAAGUGAUCGAUCUGGUGAAGAAGAACUCAGGCUCCCACAGGUGUUUCUCUUUUGGGAUUGGGGAAGGGGCCAGCUCUGCUCUCAUCAAUGGGAUGGCCAAGGAAGGAGGAGGUCACGCUCAGUUCAUCACAGGGACUGACAGGAUGCAACCAAAAGUGAUGCAGUCGCUGCGAUUUGCUCUGCAGCCGGCUGUGGUCGACAUCUCAGUCACAUGGGAUUUACCAAAGGAAGUGUCUGUCACUGUCCUCUCUCCACCAAUCACAGCACUUUUCCAGGGUCAGAGGUCACUGAUUUAUGCCCAGCUCACUGGACAGAGCUCAGAGGCAGCAGAGGGCUGUGUGAUGCUGAAGUACAGCCUGGCAGGUCAUCCCUCUGAGAACCAGCUGCACUUCAGUCUCAGACCUGCAGAGGACACUGGACUAACAGUCCACAGGUUGGGUGCUCGGACUCUGAUUCGUUCCCUGGAGAUGGAGGAGAGAGAAAACAGAGAAGAGCAACAUGGAGGAAUGAAGGAGAAGGUGGUGCAGCUCAGUGUCCAAUCAGGAGUGAGCAGUUCUUUCACUGCCUUCAUUGCUGUCAACAAAGACAACGGAGAGGCGAUCCAAGGACCUCUUGUCCAGAGAAAUAUUCCAACAGCCUUUUCAUAUCAUUUAAGUCCAGAAUGCGAUGCUGCUACAUAUAAAGCAUGCAAAAUGAUGAAGAGUGCUCCAUUGCCUAUGAUUGGUAUCUUGCAGAAGUUUAGUCGGUGGGUUGGUGAUCGUCUGCAUAAAAAACGUUUUUCAUCAGAAGCUUCACAAGAUUUUCCAGCUGCUGUGCCCGAACAGCCACCCAGAGACCCUUUGCUGCAGUUAGUCUCCCUGCAGGAGGCGUCUGGCUGCUGGCUGCUUGAUCCAGCUCUGGCUGCUGCACUGGGAAAGACCGACGAGGAGGUGGAAAAGUCAAAGCCUGAAAAGGCCAGCAGUGAAGUGUGGGCCACCAUCCUGGCUCUGAUCUGGCUUCAUGGCUUCAAGAUGGAUGCAAAGGACGAGUGGGAGCUUCUGGCUGUGAAGGCUGCCUCAUGGCUCCAAGCUCACAAAGCACCAUGUGUGUCAGAGUGUGUGGAUGCUGGAAAUGUCCUGCUGGGUUGCAGCGUGAAGAAAGAAGCUCUGGGACUCUGAGGGUUUUCUUAAAGUGACCUCACCUUCAGGACUGUUAAGCAGAAGGAUACUGACUUACACUAUACUGUGUUGCUUUCUUUAGUCUGACCCUUUAAUUGUUAUAAAAUCAUUAUUUUCCUUGAAUCCAAAUUGGUAUUUAACAUUGGAUUUAACACUGUAACACGUGUCUGCAGAAUUAUCUGAACACUCCAAAUAUACUUUCUGACAGCUACUGUAGAAGCUCAAUCAGAAGGUGUGUUCAUUCUUUCUCUUCCACUAGAUGUGAUUGACUUGUUUCAUUCUCACUAACAUAACCUCCUGUCAAAUGUUGCUGACUCAACACUAAUAAAACACAUGAUUUGGUAACACAGA
Molecule: long non-coding RNA, 4916 nt
Organism: Oreochromis niloticus (Nile tilapia)
Lineage: Eukaryota; Metazoa; Chordata; Actinopteri; Cichliformes; Cichlidae
Product: von Willebrand factor A domain-containing protein 5A
Exons: 30
Source: RefSeq, a predicted model, not a curated record